Molecule: non-coding RNA, 139 nt
Organism: Calypte anna (Anna's hummingbird)
Lineage: Eukaryota; Metazoa; Chordata; Aves; Apodiformes; Trochilidae
Source: Rfam
CUUCAGUGAUGAGGAGAUGAUGAGUCUGAAAGGGAAUAUCCUGCUCCAAGUGCCCUGUUUCAUCUUGUGUUCUGCAACAUGGGUUUUAGGUGACCUGGGGUCACAGUUUGAGUGACUUUGAGGCAUUUGUCUGAGAAGG